GACGAACGCUGGCGGCGUGCUUAACACAUGCAAGUCGAACGGAAAGGCCCUGCUUUUGUGGGUUGCUCGAGUGGCGAACGGGUGAGUAACACGUGAGUAACCUGCCCUUGACUUUGGGAUAACUUCAGGAAACUGGGGCUAAUACCGGAUAGGAGCUCCUGCUGCAUGGUGGGGGUUGGAAAGUUUCGGCGGUUGGGGAUGGACUCGCGGCUUAUCAGCUUGUUGGUGGGGUAGUGGCUUACCAAGGCUUUGACGGGUAGCCGGCCUGAGAGGGUGACCGGCCACAUUGGGACUGAGAUACGGCCCAGACUCCUACGGGAGGCAGCAGUGGGGAAUAUUGCACAAUGGGCGGAAGCCUGAUGCAGCAACGCCGCGUGCGGGAUGACGGCCUUCGGGUUGUAAACCGCUUUCGCCUGUGACGAAGCGUGAGUGACGGUAAUGGGUAAAGAAGCACCGGCUAACUACGU
This 467-nucleotide ribosomal RNA is filed under the name uncultured bacterium. RNAcentral's name for it is "partial 16S ribosomal RNA". It matches the Rfam family "Bacterial small subunit ribosomal RNA", at positions 28 to 506 of the family's 1533-position model. The record is from RNAcentral.